CCCCUGUGACCAGCAAUGUGCUCCCCCACCCCAGCCCGUGCCACCACCCUGCACCCCCUCCUUAACACCCCCUGCCUCUCUGCAUCUUGUUUGGCGGUCACCGUGGGGGUGUGUGCGCGUGCGUGUGUGUGUGUGUGUGCAUGUGUACGUGUGUCGAGGGAGGAGGAAGGCAAGCUUGAUGACACGCUCCAUUUCACAAGCUAAGUAAAUGGGGCAGAGAGAUGGGCGGCUGCCUGGGCAUCUCGCCAGGUGGGCAUCUUGACUCCAGGUCUGAGUUCUUUCUGCACAGGCUCCCUUGAGGGUUCCUACGUGGGCUCUGGAAGCUGACUGCCCGGGUUCAGAUCCAGGCCGGGCCUUUUGGUGACUGCGCAGCCUUGGGCACAUUCCUUAACCUCUAGGUGUCUGGUUUCUUGGGUCUACAAAAUGGGGACAACCCACGGGAGGAACCACCUGUGGCCGCUGUGGAGUUCCAUCGGGGCCUCUCACACUGACUGAGCGCUGUGUGCCAGGCGCCCAGAGCUGGCGUGCCAAGCGGAUGUCCACUGCCCUCGCGAGAGCCAGGCCUGGGCUGGGCCUGUGCCCUUGACGCGGAGUAAACAGACCGCAGCCUGACUCGUAGGAAGCGCUCGGUGACUGUGAGCUGUCCCCAUCACCAAGCUCGUGCUUCAGGCGAGCUGCCCUCUCCACGUGGCAGGUGAAAAGGAGCUGCGAGGAGCUGGACAAAAGGGAAGACCUUUAGAGGCAGACGGGAGUGGAACAUGGAAGCUAUGCCAGCAAAAAGCCAACAGUUGGUCGUGGCAAGGUCGAAUCCAGGGGUCGGUGAGACCGAUGACCUCCCUCCUGCGCAUCGGGUCAUUCCUGGUGGACUGGUUUGGGGCUCCUUUUCCACGAGAACCAAAACUGUCAUUACGUCUUGGUUUGGUGGGGGAGGGGCUUAGCAUAAGUGACUCCAAUUUGGGCCUGUCUUGUUUUUAACACUAGUCUCUCUCAUCUAAACUGA
This is a non-coding RNA of Equus caballus (horse), 1000 nucleotides long. The record is from RefSeq and is a predicted model, not a curated record. Lineage: Eukaryota; Metazoa; Chordata; Mammalia; Perissodactyla; Equidae.